This 455-nucleotide ribosomal RNA is filed under the name soil bacterium 14V-10. RNAcentral's name for it is "bacterial SSU rRNA". It matches the Rfam family "Bacterial small subunit ribosomal RNA", at positions 24 to 490 of the family's 1533-position model. The record is from RNAcentral.
UCAGGACGAACGCUGGCGGCGUGCUUAACACAUGCAAGUCGAACGAUGAACCUGGAGCUUGCUCUAGGGGAUUAGUGGCGAACGGGUGAGUAACACGUGAGUAACCUGCCCUUGACUCUGGGAUAACCUCCGGAAACGGAAGCUAAUACCGGAUACGACGUACGGAGGCAUCUCCUGUACGUGGAAAGAACUUCGGUCAAGGAUGGACUCGCGGCCUAUCAGGUAGUUGGUGAGGUAACGGCUCACCAAGCCUACGACGGGUAGCCGGCCUGAGAGGGUGACCGGCCACACUGGGACUGAGACACGGCCCAGACUCCUACGGGAGGCAGCAGUGGGGAAUAUUGCACAAUGGGCGCAAGCCUGAUGCAGCAACGCCGCGUGAGGGAUGACGGCCUUCGGGUUGUAAACCUCUUUUAGUAGGGAAGAAGCGAAAGUGACGGUACCUGCAGAAAAAG